AUUAAAGUAGUUUAAUUAAAAUAAAGAUUUGUGGAUUCUUAGAUGUUUAUCAAACCUUAAAUU
RNAcentral lists this transfer RNA (63 nucleotides) under Idioscopus nitidulus. RNAcentral describes it as "tRNA-His". The record is from RNAcentral. Lineage: Eukaryota; Metazoa; Arthropoda; Insecta; Hemiptera; Cicadellidae.